This 22-nucleotide microRNA is filed under the name Heliconius melpomene (postman butterfly). Its description in RNAcentral is "Hme-Novel-5-P2_3p (mature (guide))". The record is from RNAcentral. Lineage: Eukaryota; Metazoa; Arthropoda; Insecta; Lepidoptera; Nymphalidae.
UUUGCCUUUAGUUAGUUUCCGG